This 154-nucleotide unclassified non-coding RNA is filed under the name uncultured Sordariomycetes. Its description in RNAcentral is "sequence contains ITS1". Lineage: Eukaryota; Fungi; Ascomycota; Sordariomycetes. The record is from RNAcentral.
CAAGAGUUGAAAAACUCCCUAAACACUUGUGAACCUACCCGUCUCGUUGCUUCGGCGGGCGGCCCCAGGGGGGGCCUAUGCCCUCGCGGGCGCCCGCCGGAGGCCCAAAACUCUAUAGCCAGCGACGUCUCUCUGAGAAAUACAAAAUAAGUUA